GGGUUGUGAGGUUAAGCGACUAAGCGUACACGGUGGAUGCCCUGGCAGUCAGAGGCGAUGAAGGACGUGCUAAUCUGCGAAAAGCGUCGGUAAGGUGAUAUGAACCGUUAUAACCGGCGAUGUCCGAAUGGGGAAACCCAGUGUGAUUCGUCACACUAUCGUUAACUGAAUACAUAGGUUAACGAGGCGAACCGGGGGAACUGAAACAUCUAAGUACCCCGAGGAAAAGAAAUCAACCGAGAUUCCCCCAGUAGCGGCGAGCGAACGGGGAGCAGCCCAGAGUCUGAAUCAGCUUGUGUGUUAGUGGAACGGUCUGGAAAGUCCGACGGUACAGGGUGAUAGUCCCGUACACCAAAAUGCACAGGUUGUGAACUCGAAGAGUAGGGCGGGACACGUGGUAUCCUGUCUGAAUAUGGGGGGACCAUCCUCCAAGGCUAAAUACUCCUGACUGACCGAUAGUGAACCAGUACCGUGAGGGAAAGGCGAAAAGAACCCCGGCGAGGGAGUGAAAAAGAACCUGAAACCGUGUACGUACAAGCAGUGGGAGCACCUUCGGGUGUGACUGCGUACCUUUGUAUAAUGGGUCAGCGACUUAUAUUCUGUAGCAAGGUUAACCGUAUAGGGAGCCGCAGGAAACCGAGUCUUAACUGGGCGUUAAGUUGCAGGGUAUAGACCCGAAACCCGGUGAUCUAGCCAUGGGCAGGUUGAAGGUUGGGUAACACUAACUGGAGGACCGAACCGACUAAUGUUGAAAAAUUAGCGGAUGACUUGUGGCUGGGGGUGAAAGGCCAAUCAAACCGGGAGAUAGCUGGUUCUCCCCGAAAGCUAUUUAGGUAGCGCCUCGUGAAUUCAUCUUCGGGGGUAGAGCACUGUUUCGGCUAGGGGGUCAUCCCGACUUACCAACCCGAUGCAAACUACGAAUACCGAAGAAUGUUAUCACGGGAGACACACGGCGGGUGCUAACGUCCGUCGUGAAGAGGGAAACAACCCAGACCGCCAGCUAAGGUCCCAAAGUCAUGGUUAAGUGGGAAACGAUGUGGGAAGGCACAGACAGCCAGGAUGUUGGCUUAGAAGCAGCCAUCAUUUAAAGAAAGCGUAAUAGCUCACUGGUCGAGUCGGCCUGCGCGGAAGAUGUAACGGGGCUAAACCAUGCACCGAAGCUGCGGCAGCGACACUAUGUGUUGUUGGGUAGGGGAGCGUUCUGUAAGCCUGCGAAGGUGACCUGUGAGGGUUGCUGGAGGUAUCAGAAGUGCGAAUGCUGACAUAAGUAACGAUAAAGCGGGUGAAAAGCCCGCUCGCCGGAAGACCAAGGGUUCCUGUCCAACGUUAAUCGGGGCAGGGUGAGUCGACCCCUAAGGCGAGGCCGAAAGGCGUAGUCGAUGGGAAACAGGUUAAUAUUCCUGUACUUGGUGUUACUGCGAAGGGGGGACGGAGAAGGCUAUGUUAGCCGGGCGACGGUUGUCCCGGUUUAAGCAUGUAGGCUGGUUAUCCAGGCAAAUCCGGAUAAUCAAGGCUGAGGUGUGAUGACGAGGCACUACGGUGCUGAAGUAACAAAUGCCCUGCUUCCAGGAAAAGCCUCUAAGCAUCAGGUAACAUCAAAUCGUACCCCAAACCGACACAGGUGGUCAGGUAGAGAAUACCAAGGCGCUUGAGAGAACUCGGGUGAAGGAACUAGGCAAAAUGGUGCCGUAACUUCGGGAGAAGGCACGCUGGUGUGUAGGUGAAGUCCCUGCGGAUGGAGCUGAGACCAGUCGAAGAUACCAGCUGGCUGCAACUGUUUAUUAAAACACAGCACUGUGCAAACACGAAAGUGGACGUAUACGGUGUGACGCCUGCCCGGUGCCGGAAGGUUAAUUGAUGGGGUUAUCCGUAAGGAGAAGCUCUUGAUCGAAGCCCCGGUAAACGGCGGCCGUAACUAUAACGGUCCUAAGGUAGCGAAAUUCCUUGUCGGGUAAGUUCCGACCUGCACGAAUGGCGUAAUGAUGGCCAGGCUGUCUCCACCCGAGACUCAGUGAAAUUGAACUCGCUGUGAAGAUGCAGUGUACCCGCGGCAAGACGGAAAGACCCCGUGAACCUUUACUAUAGCUUGACACUGAACAUUGAGCCUUGAUGUGUAGGAUAGGUGGGAGGCUUUGAAGCGUGGACGCCAGUCUGCGUGGAGCCAACCUUGAAAUACCACCCUUUAAUGUUUGAUGUUCUAACGUUGGCCCCUGACCGGGGUUGCGGACAGUGUCUGGUGGGUAGUUUGACUGGGGCGGUCUCCUCCCAAAGCGUAACGGAGGAGCACGAAGGUUAGCUAAUCCUGGUCGGACAUCAGGAGGUUAGUGCAAUGGCAUAAGCUAGCUUGACUGCGAGCGUGACGGCGCGAGCAGGUGCGAAAGCAGGUCAUAGUGAUCCGGUGGUUCUGAAUGGAAGGGCCAUCGCUCAACGGAUAAAAGGUACUCCGGGGAUAACAGGCUGAUACCGCCCAAGAGUUCAUAUCGACGGCGGUGUUUGGCACCUCGAUGUCGGCUCAUCACAUCCUGGGGCUGAAGUAGGUCCCAAGGGUAUGGCUGUUCGCCAUUUAAAGUGGUACGCGAGCUGGGUUUAGAACGUCGUGAGACAGUUCGGUCCCUAUCUGCCGUGGGCGCUGGAGAAUUGAGGGGCUGCUCCUAGUACGAGAGGACCGGAGUGGACGCAUCACUGGUGUUCGGGUUGUCAUGCCAAUGGCACUGCCCGGUAGCUAAAUGCGGAAGAGAUAAGUGCUGAAAGCAUCUAAGCACGAAACUUGCCCCGAGAUGAGUUCUCCCUGAGACUUUAAGUCUCCUGAAGGAACGUUGAAGACGACGACGUUGAUAGGCCGGGUGUGUAAGCGCAGCGAUGCGUUGAGCUAACCGGUACUAAUGAACCGUGAGGCUUAACCUUACAACGCCGAAG
This 2916-nucleotide ribosomal RNA is filed under the name Klebsiella pneumoniae. RNAcentral describes it as "23S ribosomal RNA". It matches the Rfam family "Bacterial large subunit ribosomal RNA". The record is from RNAcentral. Lineage: Bacteria; Pseudomonadati; Pseudomonadota; Gammaproteobacteria; Enterobacterales; Enterobacteriaceae.